Long non-coding RNA from Nycticebus coucang (slow loris), 2318 nucleotides. RefSeq lists it as uncharacterized. The transcript has 3 exons. The record is from RefSeq and is a predicted model, not a curated record. NCBI's taxonomy places the organism in Eukaryota, Metazoa, Chordata, Mammalia, Primates, Lorisidae.
UCGCUCUGCCCCUCUCAAGAGUGCCCUGGGGUGGGAUUUGCCUUCUCAGGGCCUUCUCUUGUCCUGCCUGGGCCUGGGUCUUCCCACUACCUCCCUGACCACACCCUGACUGUCACGAAGAACAUGAGUACAUCUCAGGUGUCAAAACCAGCGCAUGAAAUAGCAUGAACUGGGUGGCCAAGACCAAGUGAAAACAUUAACCUUAUUGGAUUCAUCAAAUAGUCAGUGAAACACCCACUGUGUGCCAAGCCCUGUCACGGUCCCAGAGCAUUAAGUACGUGCAGACUGAAGAUUGUGGUGGGGGAGAAACAGACAAGUAAACAAGUAAACAAAUCAACAAGGGGAGUUCAGAGGCUGGCAAGUGCUGUAAUGAAAAUAAGGCCCCGGGCGGCACCUGUGGCUCAGUCGAAAGAAAUUAAAGAAGAUAAAACCACUCCAUGUCCCCAGAGAAUGUCACUCGGGAGGGAGAAAGUGCGCACCCAGGCAGAGGAAAUGUGGAGGCCAUGGGCUGGUACGUUUAAAGAAUGAAUCUCACGUGGGCUGGGGAACACAAAAGUCUUUGUGGAAGAGGGCUGCUCUGCAGACUUGGCUGAGCCCUCAGAGUCGAGCAUUGCAACAUCAGACAGACGCCUCUGUCUGGGACAUUCUUGCGCCACGGUCCUGCUCUCUGCAUUCCUGAGUGUCCCAAGAAGGCCAGGGUCUCCUCUCACCCAGAAACUUCUUCCUCUAACAGUCAACUAUGCAAAAGGGGAUCCUUGUUCAACUUCCUUGAAGAAUCCAGAAUUCAAGCCACAUUGAGAAAUCUAUAGAAGAAAUGUCUUCAUCCAGUGAAAAAAAAACAAGUAGAGAAACUUUGGAGACACAGGUACAACUGAGGCGAGCACGAGGGCUCAUCUACCCCGGCUGUCCGGCUUCCCAGUGUGACCUUUGCUCCAGCAGACAUACUCACGGGAAAAAGGCAGCUUCCGCCUGAGACCCUUCUGGCACGCUCCACGGCCACGAAGAAAGUUAAAGUGGUUUAGAUUCCUGCCAAUCACUCUCAAAGGACGCCACCAACAGGCCAGUCUGGUGGGCCCCAGCAUCCCAGGUCCCAGCCACUUGGUCUUGGGGGGCAUCUUCCCUCUGCCUGAGCAGUGCGGUUGCCAUGGCAACCUGCUCAGCUGACCCAUGAGGAGGCAGGGCUCAGGUUACUGUUCUCCCCAGCUCAGGAGAGGGUGCAGAACCUUCUGAACUUGUUCCCCUAAUGCUUAAACCCUGUUUUCAAAAUGAUAAGCAGAAAAAAAAAAUGGAGAGAAAAUCUGGACAUCUAAAUGUCCAGCAAUGAGAAAAAAGAUAAGGAAAUAAAUUAGGGUUAUGGUUUAUUAUAUGUAUUAUGUAGCCAUUUAAAAUGGAUGUUUACAACAGGUUUUUCAUAACUGGGAAAUGCUUGGGUCAGCAAAUCUAAAGUGGGCUUAGAGGAAAAUGUCCCUCAAAGAAGGGGCUUGGCAGCCUGUCAAAUUAGGAGACACAGGACAUCUGCUCGUUCUUGGCGGUACAUGGAACACUCCAGUGUAGUUACAGCUCUGAGAAGUCUUGCAGUCAAGCCGCUGUACUUAGCUUGAUUGAAUUUGAUGUUUUCCUGGUCUACUGCUGACAGAGCCCUUUCCCCAGCCACAGGGCUGAGGCGUGCUGCCCUGUCCCAUUGUCCCCUCUCGGGGUGGUCACUCUGUAUCCAGUGGGUAGCUGGCUCCCCACAUCUCCCUGGAGGCUCCUGGAGCUCUGCAAUGCUGGAGUUUCAUUUCCUACCCACUCCCCGCCCUUAGCGCCCACCCCACCAUCGAGGGAGAGCUUGUCGGAUUGCAUUAGAGGCCAUGUCUGUUUUCAACUUCAAUUCUAAUGAUCUGUUUUCUUCCUUCUACUUUAAAUGGUGUUUGUCAUAGGCAAUGAGCAAUCAAUCAACCGCAGCACUGUCAUUAAUCUACCUUUAAGCGAUGGAUCUCUGAGUGGGCAUGAGCUGGGUGCACUGGCUGGCCUCCCUGACCCAUGUCUACCAUUGGCCGGCUCUCACUCAACAUCUUCACCCCUUCACACCUGGCAACUUCUUCAGGACUUGGUGGCACUGCCAUUGCCUCAGGGAGAGCUUCCCUGAUUCCAUUAUCUGUAUUAGGACCCACCAUCACAUGUUUUCAUGGACACUUCCUAACCCAUAUUGUAAUUAUGUAUUCAUUUGUUUAUUCUCUCUCAACACUAAACUGUUAAUUCCCAAAAUAGCUCAGUAUCUGGCACACUUUGGGCAUUCAACAGCCAUUCAAUGAUUAAACUAGAACUUGACACUUUAU